Molecule: ribosomal RNA, 440 nt
Filed under: uncultured bacterium
Lineage: Bacteria
Description: partial 16S ribosomal RNA
Rfam family: Bacterial small subunit ribosomal RNA
Source: RNAcentral
CCUACGGGUGGCAGCAGUAGGGAAAAUUGCUCAAUGGGGGAAACCCUGAAGCAGCAAAGCCGCGUGGAGGAUGAAGGUUUUCGGAUUGUAAACUCCUUUUGUUAGAGAAGAUAAUGACGGUAUCUAACGAAUAAACACCUGCUAACUCCGUGCCAGCAGCCGCGGGAAUACGGCGGGUGCAACAGUUACUCGGAAUCACUUGGCUUAAAGAGCGCGUAGGCGGGAUAGCAGGUCCGAUGUGAAAUCCUAUGGCUUAACCAUAGAACUGCAUUUGAAACUGUUAUUCUAGAGUAUGGGAGAGGUAUGUGGAAUUCGUGGUGUAGGGGUAAAAUCCGUAGAGAUCAAGAGGAAUACUCAUUGCGAAGGCGACCUGCUAGAACAUAACUGACGCUGAUGCGCGAAAGCGUGGGGAGCAAACAGGAUUAGAUACCCCUGUAGUC